AUGGAGGCGCUCUGGGUCGUCUUCCCGGUGCUGCAGCACGUCCUGCUCUACGAGGCCGACCACGACAUGCCGCCCUUCGACGCCAUUCUCGAGUCCCUCCGCUCCUCCCUCGCGGCCACUCUUGGCAGCUUCGCGCCGCUUGCCGGCAAGCUGGUCCACCUCGAGGAGACGGGGGACGUCGGCGUCAGCUGCUCCGCCUCCGACGGCGUCCGGUUCGUCGUCGCGGAGUGCGACACAGAUAUCGGACGCCUGGCUGGCGACGAGGAGCACGACCUGCGGGUGCUCGAGGGGCUCGUGCCGGAGGUGGACAUGAGCCAGUUGCCGGCCCCCGUGCUGGCCGUGCAGGCCACGCGCUUCCAGGGCGGCGUGGCGGUGGGCGUGACGGUGCACCACGGUGUCGCGGAUGGCCGGGCGCUGUGGACGUUCGUUGAGGCGUGGGCGGCGGUGUGUAGGGGAGAGACGCCGGCCACGACGCCGUGCUUCGACCGCUCGCUCGUCAAGCUGCCCGGCGGCGAAGAGCUGGCCAGGAGCGUCCUACGGAAGGUGGCCCCGAAUUUGCCUUCGGUGGCACCACCGUCGUCCCUGGUUGAAGAACGAAAGCGGUUCACCCGUCGAACGUUCACCCUGGACGCGGGGGACAUCCAACGCCUCAAGCAACGCAUCGUCCAUCUAGCAGAAUCCCACGGCGCGCCCCUGCCUCGCCCGCCGUCAACUUUCACGGCCGUCGUCGCGCUCGCCUGGACGUGCUUCGCCCGGUGCAAGCCGUUCUCCUCGGAGGACGACGCGCAGCUCUUCUUCUUCGCCGACACCCGCGACUGCCUUGAUCCGCCCGUCGAUGCAGGGUACAUCGGUGCGUGCCUCACCGGGUCCCUAUCGAAGCUCCCCGUGCCGGAGCUUCGUGGUGACCACGCCUUGGCAGCCGCGGCGUCAGAGGUCCAGGACAAGAUCAACAAGGUGAAGGAGGACCCUGUUGCCGGGUGGAACUUCUUCACGCUCAUCCCCGAUGCCUGCCUGGACCGUAUCAUGAACAUAUCGGGCUCGUCGGGAUUUAGAGCAUAUGAGGUCGCCGACUUCGGGUGGGGGAAGCCGAGGCGAACAGAGCCGAUUACGAUGAACCACGACGGUCAGGUGGCGCUGAUGCGCAGCAGGGACGGGCAGGGCGUCCAGGUGUCGGUGUCGCUGCUCCAGCCGGCACAUAUGGAUGCGUUCAAGUCUAGUUUCCUCGAGCUGCUCAAGUGA
This 1239-nucleotide ribosomal RNA is filed under the name Triticum aestivum (bread wheat). Its description in RNAcentral is "partial small subunit ribosomal RNA". The record is from RNAcentral. Lineage: Eukaryota; Viridiplantae; Streptophyta; Magnoliopsida; Poales; Poaceae.